This 513-nucleotide ribosomal RNA is filed under the name uncultured Glomus. RNAcentral's name for it is "SSU rRNA". It matches the Rfam family "Eukaryotic small subunit ribosomal RNA", at positions 569 to 1086 of the family's 1831-position model. The record is from RNAcentral. Lineage: Eukaryota; Fungi; Glomeromycota; Glomeromycetes; Glomerales; Glomeraceae.
AGCAGCCGCGGUAAUUCCAGCUCCAAUAGCGUAUAUUAAAGUUGUUGCAGUUAAAAAGCUCGUAGUUGAAUUUCGGAAUCAAUUUGUUGGUCGUGCCUUGGUACGUACUGGCAUUAUUGGUUUCUCCCUUCUGAGAAUCCUUGAUGUCAUUAAUUUGGUGUCUUGGGGAAUCAGGACUGUUACCUUGAAAAAAUUAGAGUGUUUAAAGCAGGCAUACGCUUGAAUACAUUAGCAUGGAAUAAUGAAAUAGGACAUUCGAUUCUAUUUUGUUGGUUUCUAGGAUCAAUGUAAUGAUUAAUAGGGAUAGUUGGGGGCAUUAGUAUUCAAUUGUCAGAGGUGAAAUUCUUGGAUUUAUUGAAGACUAACUACUGCGAAAGCAUUUGCCAAGGAUGUUUUCAUUAAUCAAGAACGAAAGUUAGGGGAUCGAAGACGAUCAGAUACCGUCGUAGUCUUAACCAUAAAUUAUGCCGACUAGGGAUCGGAUGAUGUUAAUUUUUAUGACUCAUUCGGUCG